CCCCCGCUUGCCGCGCGCGUCCCGGAGAGUCCCGCGGCCGGCGCCGGUGAUGUCAUUGUUUGUGGGAAUCUGCGGGCUCGGGAAAGGGAAUUACGGUGGAGCCGCUCUCGGAGGCCCCCGGGGAGCCGGGCCAGGCCUCUCCCAUUCCUCCUCCUGGCUGCAAACCUCUCGCUCUCUCUUCCUCAUUCGUGGCAAUAACAAAGCAGUAUUAACCCUCCUCCUGCCACUUUACCGAGCCCCAGGGAAGAUUGCUUUGCUCCCCUUCUGGCCCGGGAGGCUUGGGAAAGCCACCCAUUGAGGGCGACUCCCGGGGGCUAGGUGCAGGAACCACUUUUAAAAAAAGGCUCCACGCAGGUCAGGAACUGAACAGCUGGAAAGCCAGCUAGGGUCCAGCCUCGUCCCCAUCAGCUACCGCGACGCGUUCGGAGGAGGAGGCGCAGUUCCAGACGCGGGGACACGGGGCUGCGUGGGGACAGCCAGGGCGCAAGUGUGGGGAGGGGUCGCUCCCGGUGCCGGCGUGGGGGUCACGACUCGGGAACGGCCUCACGGGGGGCGCGUCCCCGCCGAAGGGCAGGGUGUCAGCUAAGUCAGCGGGUUCCGAGAGGAGUACUCCUACGUGACUGCGUGCUGCUGACCACUCACUGCUCCUUUUGCCCAAGUGGAAGAGCCAGCCGAGCUCUGCUGCAGAGAAAUGAGCGAUUGUUUUGGAGAAACUUAAAUAUUGUUGAGCUGCAGAGUGUUUACACUGGCCUGGCUCCUCAGGUAGUACCAAAGCAAAAUCCUGGCUUAGUUGGAUGAGAGAUCCCUCUCCCUCCUCUGCUCUAUGUUGGGCCUGGAGAUUGACUUUUAUUCACUAUAUUGGUGAUGCUUGUUUUAUGGCUUCCCUUAAAUUCAGGCAUCAGGGCGCUAUUUAAAACAGAACUGGAGAGCAGAGCAAGAGGAUCAGCUGACGGGAAAGAAUUCUUUUACACUUCUCUGGAAAUUACUUUAUACUAAAGGCGUUGUCCACAAGAGCGAAACGUUCCAGGCUAAAGGAAGGGAAGCACAUCAUUUGUCUUCUAGCUAUUACAUGAUUGAUAUCAGCAUCGCUGCCACGGCAACUGAGCUGAACGCAUCGUCAGGCAAAACAAUUUAACACGAAGGGAGGCACAAACGUGAGAACUUGGAGAAGCCAUUUCUAAAUACAAGGCCAGGGUACAAAUAACUCUUCUAAGUCCACAAGACGGGCAGACUCUAAAUUUCUAUAUGUAAUUUUUCUCAACCAAUUUGCCUGUCAACAGGAUGUUUGUGCCUUGCCACAGGCCUAAGAGCAAUGGAGUCAGCUGACCACGGAUUGAAACUUCUUAAACUCAAACUGAGGCCCAGUGACAUGAAGGAAUGUGAACUGCUCAGAGACUGAGCCUGAUGAAUUUGCCCUGCCUCCUACCCAUUCUCCGUUACCUGAAGCUGUCUUUCUGGCUGGAAGAUUCAGAUACAGACAUGCUGGGAUGGUGAGAUGAACAUCUCUGUCCCUCUCAACCUGACUUUGGAGUUAACAACCUGACACAGAUCCCUUUCUCACCUAGAAGAGUUCGUGAAUGUCGCUGAACCGGAAGGAGCUGGCCCUCAGGCAUUCCAACUUCUCUGAAAAAGACAAGAAAAACUGUUAUUGAAGAAAUGCUUCUUUUUGCUCUUCACUUUCCCCCUGCACCCUAGUGCACCUCUUUCUCACAGAGUUUUCUUUACUGCACUUCUUUCAAAGGGAAUGUUAAUGCUUUCGCAAAUCAACCAUCCAUUGUUCCAUAGUUACCUUUGCGAAUCAUCCAUGUGCCCCCCACAAGCCUCCCUGGAGACCUGGAAUCAGAAUAUUCAGUGGGAGAGCGGCAGACGGAUGCUACUCCACAUCCUUCCAUUGGUACCAUCUGGACAACAGCAUCCUGACCGAGACUUCUUGUUACAAGGAUGAGCAUGGAAGACAGUUCCUCGAAGGGAGAGGUUGCGUGCUGGCUCUGGGCAAGAGGGAGACAGUAGUUCCAGGAGACAGAUUGUGACUUCUUUUUUCCCUCUUCUUUUGAGUUUGAUGGCAAUAAAGCAUAUAACAUGGGAUCACCCAGCCUGAUCAUGGUCUCAGGUUGCUAAAUAAUCUCCAGGAUUUAUGAAGGAGGCACACAUGUCCAAUGAAGAGGGGUCACUGAGCAAAGAAGGCAAUCACUCAUGGUAACUGAAUUCUACCUCUAUCUGUAAUCAUGGAAGCAUUGCAGAGGAGGUGUGAUGGGUGAUACACUGUAUCAACUUGAGUUUAGAGGUUUAACCAAGGGACUCAGCUGGGAGCCAGGGUCCUUACUUUGUAAACAGCCUCAUCCUGUGCAAGAAGAGGGCACAGAGACUGAGUGCUACACACCCACCCUGACGGGAGAGGUGGCCUGUGUACAGUAUAAAGGAGGAGGGGUUUGGUUUUGUUGCUUUUUCUGUCUUCUGCUGCCUUGAACUGUUGCCCCUGUCUCCUGCCACCCUGCCUUGGAGCCAGCUGAUUAUGGACUGAAACCUCCACAAACUGUGAGCCAAAUAAACCUUUCCUUCCUUCAUUUUAGGUGUCAGGUAUUUUGUCCCAGCAACAAUAGAAAAGUAACCAAGAUAGCAGAAGAGGGUAAACGAAAGAGAAGGGCUUAAACGAGUCUGCCAUCUGAGGCUUCUGGUUUCCUGCUUUGUUGGCCGACACUGAGAGGCAGAAAGGAGACCUGGUUGCUUUGAAGGUGUGCAUCCUUCAGUUACAGUUUAAAUCAAGGUUAAGUGCUUUUUAAAUUUUAUUUUAUUUUUUAUUUUUUGGUCUUUUUGAGACAGGGUCUCGCUAUGCAGUUCAGGCUGGUCCUCAAUUCACUUUGUAUCCCAGGCUGGUUUCAAACUCACAGCAAUCCUUCUGCUUCAAGCCUGGCUUUUUUUUUAAGAACAGAUUUUUUUCUAUACCAUGUUUUGUAACCACUUAUUUCUUCAACUAUGGAAACUGCUUCCUGUUGUGGGGAAGAAUUCUCAUGGUAAAGUUUGAAGACUUAGGAAAGUCAUUCUUACCCUCCUUUCCCCUGGGCAAUUCCCAUCCCACCCAACUCCCACCCCACCCUGCCUCUGCUGUUUCCUGUGGGUGUGUGGUCUGUGAUAGGAUUUUUACACUUGGAAGGGAACCAGCUGACAGGAUUUUGGCGCGGCUGGAACGAUAAGUAUGAAACUAAAAUGGACCUUUAUUUUAAGAAUGUGGGGAGAGACCCCCUGACCCUCUGGGGUCUGGCAUUCUCUCCAACAGACACGUGGUGUGGGGGCAUACAUGUAGCUUAGGUUUGGGGUGGUGCCUAAGGGGCAUUAGUGAUGCAUAUGUAGCCCAUUGGUAUUUAUUUUGCACCACAGGUAAAUUCCUAGCAGUGGGGACUAUAGAGCCCCUUGGUUCCACCUCCAAGGCUUUACCUGCUACAGUGUCUGGGGCAAAAACCUUUCAGUCUGGGCCACAAGAGCGCUCCUAUUAGGUGCCGUGGAGCGAAAGGGAAAUCUUAGCUAUGCCUUCAGAGGGGGCCACGCCCAAGAUCUGGGGUUGAUUGACAAGUGGGAAAAUAUUUUAGCCUAAGUAGCAUGCUGGGAUUUGGGGCAGAGUAGAAAGUGAUAUGUGGGUAAGUGCAAAAUGAAAUCAAUACUCAUAUUUUUUCAUUGUUUUAUUUUUUUAAUGAGACAAAGUUUUGCUAAGUUCCCAGGCUGGCCUUGAACUUGCAGUCCUCCAGCCUCAGUCUCGCAAGUAGGUGGGAUUGCAGGUAUAAACCACCACACCCAUCUAUUGCUUUUUACAUUUGUAGUUGGUCAACAAGUGACCCUAGAAUUAAAUGGAGACCCCCUACUUUUCCCAGUGGAACACCAGAAAAAUGCAAUAGGGGAAUAAUGGAGUUGGAGUUUAUUUUUCAUGGUAGCAGAGGAGCCCUUUGUAUGCAACUGUUUAAGUCUUUUGGGCACCUUGUGGUCAGAAUUAUUCUUUUAUGUUAGAAAACGGGAAAUUUAUGAGCCAUCCUUAUUUUGAAUUUCUGUUAAAGGUUGAUUGUAGUAGGCUUUUUGGAGGUGACAAUUAACCGUCCAGAAAACCUAGUUAUGUAUUUUGUUUUCCAUUCACAACUAUAUGUAUUGGUGUUUAUUAGUCACUUUAUUGGUGAGAAAACCGAGGCUCAAGGAACUUUCCAGCAUUAGACUGGGACUUACAACGAAGCUGGCAAGUCUACAGACUCUUACGUUCUGUUUUACCUUCAUGCUUUAGUUUCUGUAGGGUGUGACCAGCAAUAUUGAAGUGGGAGAAGAAAUGGAUGAGACUUACUACACCCAUCAAGUCAGUUCAUGGACCAAAAGUCAGUCUUGUUGACAGGUGUUUGUUUAUACAGGUGUUUGCUCUGUGGAAAAAGAAGAAUUGAUUCUUGUUUUGUUCCUGACUCUGCCUGAAUGCACAGGUGGAGAAUGUGGAAUGUUGGUGGAAUAUUCUUAGAGACACACUUAUUCAUUGAUUAUUUAUUUGAGAGUAAACAUGGCACAUUCUUACUUUCCAGAGGUCACUGCUUUAAUCUGGACUAAGUUGUCUCUUUUUUGGAGGAGGUUUUAGCAGAGUGGUAUGCGCGUGAGUGUAUGCAUGCAUGUGUGCACGUGUGCAAAUGCACAUGCAAUACUCUCCCUGAGACCUCGUGUGUCUAUGAAUACUGUUAUUUUGUCUUCGCAAUUAAACUGUAACUUUGCUGGAUAGAAAUUUCUAGUUUGUACAUCUCAAGAUGUUAUUUUAUGUUCUUACUAGAUCUUUAAGCAAGAAUUUUUGUGAUACAAAAACUGGUGCACAUAUUUGCUGAGUUAUUUUCAAAAUAGCUGCAGGAAAUCAGUUGGCUGUACAAUUGGGGAAGACACCAGCAGUAUGACUUCCCAAACAGCCUUCAGCAGACUAAGAUAUUUUCACAUUUUGAUAUUAUUUUCCUUUCUGUUCUCUUAAAAAAGGAUUGAACUUACAUUACCUAUGAGAAUACUAUUUGGAGAGCUGAUAUGCUUACAACUGAACAGAUCAUUAAAAUAGAAUAAGUAAUACAUGGCUCUGAAGCAUGGAGUAGAAACUCCUGAAAUUUAACCUACCUACUGAUUUUUGUAAUUAUAAUCAAGUACUUCUGAAAUACCACUAGACAAAGUAGUCCUCAACUACGUUAUUUUGGGAGAUGCUUUAUAAUUUCAGUAGAUUCUGCUACAAUUAGCUUCACAAAUACCUGUUAGUUCAAUUAUGUAUCAGUGCACCUGCAAAUUUCUAUGCAAUUGACUAAUUGAUGUAGCUUGUGUUGUUGAAGAAAUAUUUUCUUGAUUUGGAGAUCUAGGAAAGUAAUGCAAAUUUAAGUGCUACCUUAUUUAUCCCUUUGUUUGUAAGAAGAAACAUAUUGGAUCCCUGAACCCAAGUCAUGAUUUAUAUAAUAAAAGUGUUAUCAGUUUAAA
Cavia porcellus (domestic guinea pig) is the source of this 5457-nucleotide long non-coding RNA. RefSeq lists it as uncharacterized. The transcript has 6 exons. NCBI's taxonomy places the organism in Eukaryota, Metazoa, Chordata, Mammalia, Rodentia, Caviidae. The record is from RefSeq and is a predicted model, not a curated record.